AACGAACGCUGGCGGCAGGCUUAACACAUGCAAGUCGAACGGGCACCUUCGGGUGUCAGUGGCAGACGGGUGAGUAACGCGUGGGAACGUACCCUUCGGUUCGGAAUAACCCAGGGAAACUUGGGCUAACACCGGAUACGUCCGCAAGGAGAAAGAUUUAUCGCCGAAGGAUCGGCCCGCGUCGGAUUAGCUAGUUGGUGGGGUAAUGGCCCACCAAGGCGACGAUCCGUAGCUGGUCUGAGAGGAUGANCAGCCACACUGGGACUGAGACACGGCCCAGACUCCUACGGGAGGCAGCAGUGGGGAAUAUUGGACAAUGGGCGAAAGCCUGAUCCAGCCAUGCCGCGUGAGUGAAGAAGGCCUUAGGGUUGUAAAGCUCUUUCAGCGGGAAGA
This 393-nucleotide ribosomal RNA is filed under the name uncultured bacterium. Its description in RNAcentral is "bacterial SSU rRNA". It matches the Rfam family "Bacterial small subunit ribosomal RNA", at positions 29 to 448 of the family's 1533-position model. The record is from RNAcentral.